UACGUAGGGGGCAAGCGUUGUCCGGAUUUAUUGGGCGUAAAGAGCGUGUAGGCGGCUUGGUAGGUCCGCUGUGAGAACUCGAGGCUCAACCUCGAGAUGUCGGCGGAAACCACUUGGCUAGAGUCCGGAAGAGGAGAGUGGAAUUCCCGGUGUAGCGGUGAAAUGCGCAGAUAUCGGGAAGAACACCUAUGGCGAAGGCAGCUCUCUGGGACGGUACUGACGCUGAGACGCAAAAGCGUGGGGAGCGAACAGG
This 253-nucleotide ribosomal RNA is filed under the name uncultured bacterium. Its description in RNAcentral is "partial 16S ribosomal RNA". It matches the Rfam family "Bacterial small subunit ribosomal RNA", at positions 524 to 776 of the family's 1533-position model. The record is from RNAcentral.